GAUGAACGCUAGCUACAGGCUUAACACAUGCAAGUCGAGGGGCAUCAGGAAGAAAGCUUGCUUUCUUUGCUGGCGACCGGCGCACGGGUGAGUAACACGUAUCCAACCUGCCCUUUACUCGGGGAUAGCCUUUCGAAAGAAAGAUUAAUACCCGAUGGCAUAAUGAUUCCGCAUGGUUUCAUUAUUAAAGGAUUCCGGUAAAGGAUGGGGAUGCGUUCCAUUAGGUUGUUGGUGAGGUAACGGCUCACCAAGCCUUCGAUGGAUAGGGGUUCUGAGAGGAAGGUCCCCCACAUUGGAACUGAGACACGGUCCAAACUCCUACGGGAGGCAGCAGUGAGGAAUAUUGGUCAAUGGGCGCUAGCCUGAACCAGCCAAGUAGCGUGAAGGAUGAAGGCUCUAUGGGUCGUAAACUUCUUUUAUAUAAGAAUAAAGUGCAGUAUGUAUACUGUUUUGUAUGUAUUAUAUGAAUAAGGAUCGGCUAACUCCGUGCCAGCAGCCGCGGUAAUACGGAGGAUCCGAGCGUUAUCCGGAUUUAUUGGGUUUAAAGGGAGCGUAGGUGGACUGGUAAGUCAGUUGUGAAAGUUUGCGGCUCAACCGUAAAAUUGCAGUUGAUACUGUCAGUCUUGAGUACAGUAGAGGUGGGCGGAAUUCGUGGUGUAGCGGUGAAAUGCUUAGAUAUCACGAAGAACUCCGAUUGCGAAGGCAGCUCACUGGACUGCAACUGACACUGAUGCUCGAAAGUGUGGGUAUCAAACAGGAUUAGAUACCCUGGUAGUCCACACAGUAAACGAUGAAUACUCGCUGUUUGCGAUAUACAGUAAGCGGCCAAGCGAAAGCAUUAAGUAUUCCACCUGGGGAGUACGCCGGCAACGGUGAAACUCAAAGGAAUUGACGGGGGCCCGCACAAGCGGAGGAACAUGUGGUUUAAUUCGAUGAUACGCGAGGAACCUUACCCGGGCUUAAAUUGCAGUGGAAUGAUGUGGAAACAUGUCAGUGAGCAAUCACCGCUGUGAAGGUGCUGCAUGGUUGUCGUCAGCUCGUGCCGUGAGGUGUCGGCUUAAGUGCCAUAACGAGCGCAACCCUUAUCUUUAGUUACUAACAGGUCAUGCUGAGGACUCUAGAGAGACUGCCGUCGUAAGAUGUGAGGAAGGUGGGGAUGACGUCAAAUCAGCACGGCCCUUACGUCCGGGGCUACACACGUGUUACAAUGGGGGGUACAGAAGGCAGCUAGCGGGUGACCGUAUGCUAAUCCCAAAAGCCUCUCUCAGUUCGGAUCGAAGUCUGCAACCCGACUUCGUGAAGCUGGAUUCGCUAGUAAUCGCGCAUCAGCCACGGCGCGGUGAAUACGUUCCCGGGCCUUGUACACACCGCCCGUCAAGCCAUGGGAGCCGGGGGUACCUGAAGUACGUAACCGCAAGGAUCGUCCUAGGGUAAAGCUGGUGACUGGGGCUAAGUCGUA
RNAcentral lists this ribosomal RNA (1459 nucleotides) under uncultured organism. Its description in RNAcentral is "SSU rRNA". It matches the Rfam family "Bacterial small subunit ribosomal RNA". The record is from RNAcentral.